GAUGAAGAACGCAUCGAAAUGCGAUAAGUAGUGUGAAUUGCAGAAUUCAGUGAAUCAUCGAAUCUUUGAACGCACAUUGCGCCCUUUGGUAUUCCUUAGGGCAUGCCUGUUCGAGCGUCAUUUAAACCUUCAAGCUAAGCUUGGUGUUGGGUGACUGUCCGCUUCACGGCGGACUCGCCUCAAAAUUAUUGGCGGCCGGUACAUUGGCUUCGAGCGCAGCAGAAACGCGAACUCGGGCCCGUCGUAUUGGCUCCCAGAAGCUAUCUUCACAAUUUUGACCUCGGAUCAGGUAGGGAUACCCGCUGAACUUAAGCAUAUCAAUAAGCGGAGGA
This 332-nucleotide unclassified non-coding RNA is filed under the name soil metagenome. RNAcentral describes it as "partial contains 5.8S ribosomal RNA, internal transcribed spacer 2, and large subunit ribosomal RNA". The stretch from base 1 to 120 matches the Rfam family "5.8S ribosomal RNA", at positions 35 to 154 of the family's 154-position model. The record is from RNAcentral.